GACGAACGCUGGCGGCGUGCUUAACACAUGCAAGUCGAACGGAAAGGCCCUGCUUUUGUGGGGUGCUCAAGUGGCGAACGGGUGAGUAACACGUGAGUAACCUGCCCUUGACUUUGGGAUAACUUCAGGAAACUGGGGCUAAUACCGGAUAGGAGCUCCUGCUGCAUGGUGGGGGUUGGAAAGUUUCGGCGGUUGGGGAUGGACUCGCGGCUUAUCAGCUUGUUGGUGGGGUAGUGGCUUACCAAGGCUUUGACGGGUAGCCGGCCUGAGAGGGUGACCGGCCACAUUGGGACUGAGAUACGGCCCAGACUCCUACGGGAGGCAGCAGUGGGGAAUAUUGCACAAUGGGCGGAAGCCUGAUGCAGCAACGCCGCGUGCGGGAUAACGGCCUUCGGGUUGUAAACCGCUUUCGCCUGUGACGAAGCGUGAGUGACGGUAAUGGGUAAAGAAGCACCGGCUAACUACGUG
This 468-nucleotide ribosomal RNA is filed under the name uncultured bacterium. RNAcentral's name for it is "partial 16S ribosomal RNA". It matches the Rfam family "Bacterial small subunit ribosomal RNA", at positions 28 to 507 of the family's 1533-position model. The record is from RNAcentral.